CUUACUUUAGUUUAUUUAGAAUGGGGAUUUUGGGGGUCUUUGGUCUCUUUGAGAAGUUUGGC
Molecule: transfer RNA, 62 nt
Filed under: Pseudanoplocephala crawfordi
Lineage: Eukaryota; Metazoa; Platyhelminthes; Cestoda; Cyclophyllidea; Hymenolepididae
Description: tRNA-Pro
Source: RNAcentral